GCUGAAGCAACUGUUGUGUUGCUCUUGCAGUAUGUAACGUUGGAUUGUUGUAUUGUCUUGCAUCAAAAGCAUAUCCCUACUGCCAUGGAUAUGAGGAAUUGCAAUCGGAUGAAGGACGAUAUUUUGGUAAGCAUGUUCAUGUAACUAUCAAAAUUCAGUGGCCACGGUUUGUCACAGAUUUUGAUGAAACUUUGUGUGUAACGAUAUUAUGAUAGAUAUAAAACAAAAAGGACAUCCAAAGGUUUGACUUAGCAACGGUUGCCAUGGAAACCGAUCCUCUAACAACAGCUGGACAAGAUAUGUACAUGUAUGUUAUAUUUUGAAUAAUUAAAAAUUAAUCGCUAUUGUUUAUAAAAACAACAAUGGUCAAACUUAUUUUGAGCUAGGUUUUAGCUUUUAGAAAUUUUUUUGUAUUUAUUUAAUCCUUGAAAACAAUAGAAAUAAUUAUUUUUAUGAUGUAUAAGGGUUUGAUAUAUGUAAUUUUUAGAGAGGGAUAAAAUAUAUUUGCCCAGUCAUUUGGUGUACACUCACAUGCUAGUAAAAUGUACUGAAUCUGACUUUAAAAAAGUACAGAAACACAUUUGUGGAGAAACGAAAGAUAAACACAUAAACCAGUACUUUCCUCUGGUGCACAAACCAAAAUACACCAGAAAGAGUUAUUGCCCUUUGUAACUCUCUCUUGUAUUGGAGAUAUGAACAGCCUUCAUUUGUUGAGUUUUUAUUCUUCAGAAGUUUAUCAAUAUCAGAUGCUCUUUGUUCACUUUAUUCACUACCACGAUCUUUAUCUUCAAUUGUGCUAAAGGAUUCCGGUUUAUUUCGUGGAAUUCAAAUCCGUUUGAUCUUUGCCAUAGUCACCAGACUCUAGCAUCCAAUCGUCUACGUAUUCGUAGAAAAAGUAAAUGUUGUAGAAUUUGACGCUUUAUUGCAUCACAUCCGACUAAAAAAAUGACCAGGGAAACAGAAGGCUGACAGACAUAUUCAUAGAAAAUAUGAAAAAGUCCUGCCUGUUGCCGUGUUGGAACUUGCAUUGACCUGUAUGAGCAUCAUACUGUGCAAAUCACCUAAAGAUGGAGUUGACCAAGUUGAUGACUUUGAGGAGAACCUGAAGAGCAGAAGAUGCAUUCCAUGACUCUUAUAUGAUAUAGAAGGCAAAGGAGAGCUCUUGAGAAUGGAAAAAAAACCUGCGAGUUUUACAGUCAUUGAACACACCUCACGACAGAAGUCCAUCCUGAUUCAGUAAACUGGUAGUCUAUUCUUCUAAGGACACACCAUGACUUAAUUAAGAUCAAGUUUUGGUGUCAGAAGACUAAUGUAACUAAAACAUUGCAAAAUUAACCUGCAAGUGUCUUAUGUGAGCCUACUGAAUAAGGAUUCAUUACUGAACAGUUGAAGGAAAAUCACUAUAACGAUUUUUUUAAAAAGAUGAUUGUGUUGUUUGGAUAACAUUUAGCUGCAAUAAUGUAGCCCUCUCUGAUUUUUUUUUUUUUUUUUUUUUGUAGGGAGAGGGCUACAACUCCUUAGGAUCUCCGUAAUGGUGCAAAUGCGGGAGUGAUUCAUUUGCGCUCAUUCUAAACAUUUCCUGACUUUCUUUACGUAAAUAAAAUGAUAUUCUAUGUUUCUUAGUCAAUAUAUAAAUUUACAACCUGCAACUUAAGAUUUGUGAGGCUCUAUUCUACCGUUUUCAACAAUUUCGAUAAAUUCCAAUUUCUCGAUUCAUAUUUGUGCGCCAUGUUUGAUGUACUGAAGUUUCAACUUCCGAUUGUCAAGUCAUUUGCAUAUGCCAUAUAAGGUAGUAUUUACAUCAAUGGACAAGUAUGGAGGCGAAAGCUAUUUCGUCGGUAUUGAAAAGGUUUGAAUUUAAUAUCAAGUUAAAAACCGAACAGCAGAGUGUAAAUUCUUUCUGCAACAAUAUGAUUUUCCUUUCUUUGUCGAAGUGGCUCGAGUAACUACAUUUUCGCGCUGAUUGUCAAUUUAGGUUUUUCAUUAGAUCCACCUACGAGAUCUCGCGAUAACAAGCAUGGCGGAGCAGACGAAGAAUUUUGCAUGCUGUACAUUAUAUUUAAUGAAAAACACCUUUAUUAGACAUGCCCGAGCACAAAGUUGGUACUUCUUUUGGUGUAAACAACAUUUGGGACUAAUACACAGAGUUUAUUAUCGGUUAUUCAUAAAAUUAUUUUGCACCAUUACGGAGAUCCUAUGGAAUACGGGACUUUCGAGAUACGGAUCCACUCUGACUUUUAUCGCGCGUUGAACGUAAUUGUAUAGUCUAGGUCACCUACACGUUUGUCAAUGCAGUGUUUUGAGUGGGAAGUCAAACGGCUUGCGUGACCUAGGCUAGUAAUUGUAGGGCAUGUCACUUCCGGAUUACAAUAACAACAAAGUAAACAAACAUGGAAUAUUUCAAUUGCUAUCAAUUUCCUGCAUUUAAAUGCUAUCUUUGAAAGAAAGGAAUCACUACAACCAUUUUAUAGGAAAAUACAAUUGAUUAAAUUAUGCGAGUCGGCGCGGGAAAUAAAUCUAGGGAAUAUCUUGAGGAUAUCGGUAAAACUUCACGCCUUGCAUCCAAUGGUACGCGUCUAAAUGCGCCUUUUCCCUUCCAUCUAAUUUACACCCAGGUACUAAGCACCAAUAAUGACUUGGAUCGUCAUCGUGGGACUGCGCAUAGCUCUUUACGGACCGUCUGUUAGCGAAACACCAUAUGUAUCGAUAUCAACUUUGCCCUACAAUUGGUUAUUAUCACGUGACCGUGGUGUAUAAACGUCAAAUAAUAUGUAUACGGUGUGACCGUUGGACCGAGCGAAGCAUGUAAUGGUCAUUGGAGUGUCCCAAGUGGUAAUCAUAAUUCCGUUAAGUAUGGCAGGUUAUGAUUCAUUUAAAAAUAUAUAUUUUUAAUGAAAUUUUCCUUGCGCUAAAAACCCAGUAACAUCUCAAUAUUAAAGGUGUUUAUAUGGGGACAACAGCUUUACAGGAUCCGCCUAUUCAUUGAACGCGGGAAAUAAAACACAGGGCGACGUAAACUGUGUAUUGUGACGUCAUAUUUAGCCUCAACCUUUUACAAAGCAAACAAUUAUAAACAACAAUAAUACAUUCCGUAUACAAUGAAAAAGGCCGUUAUAAAACUAAACAAAAUUAACCAAUAAAUUCAAAAUGGUAAAAAUGUAACCGUAAUGUUAUCGUUUAUUAUUAUUUUAAGAAACUCAUGAACUCGUUCAUCUAUUUAGUCGUAUUACGGUUUUAUAUGUAAUUAUAUGCUAAAACCUGUUACAAUGAAAAUUAUACUAUUCACUUUGAACAAACAGAGUGUUUAAAUUACGAAUUGCACGUCAGAGUCGUCUAUUAUUUGCAUUCAUAAUAAAACACGAAUAACUGUUGAAGCAGGUGAUGAAAAAAUAAAUGGCGGCGCCCAUAUGGAUCACGAAAAAUUCAGUGAACGUAUAUAGAGAUUGCCUCUUUUUCUUUUGCUGAUUUUGACUUUUUUCUUUUACAUACGUGUUACCUUUAGAGCCUUGCUUCGCGGACGGGCCUUCGGCCCGUCCGAGCUUCGCUCGGUAUAAUCGGUCGUUCCGGCAUAUCCCGAAAGUUCCGUAUUGUAGCCCUAUCCCGAAAACGUCAGAAUAAAAAAAAAAUUGGAUAGGGCUACAUUAUUGCAGCUAGAUAACAUUGUGAUCCAUGUUUGUUGAAUAAACAACUUUGCAAAAAUGAGUUCUUCUGUGUUAAUAUUAUAAAUUUACUAAUUACUGGUAUGUCAACAUAGAUUACAGUAACACUGAACAAACUUCAAUAAAUUUUAAAGUUUCAUGCAGUUUCUGCAGUAGAAAAUGACACCUAUUGAUUUUCUGGUCCAAAGGUCACCAGGUGCAAUACAAUACUCUGUACAAUUGAUGUCUGACCAGUUUCUU
Molecule: long non-coding RNA, 3899 nt
Organism: Ostrea edulis (European flat oyster)
Lineage: Eukaryota; Metazoa; Mollusca; Bivalvia; Ostreida; Ostreidae
Exons: 3
Source: RefSeq, a predicted model, not a curated record